UAAACUUCGACAUUUGACCAACUCAAAUUUGAAGAAUUAGAAUAAUCAGAUGUACAACUUACAAUGUAAUAUCAAAGGAACGAACUUGGAAGUACAUUUAUAAUCAGAUGUACAAUUAUCAAGGGAACGAACUUGGAAGUGCAACUUACAAUGUAAUAUAUAUAUAUUUUUUUUCUUUUUGCUUAAAAUGAUUUAUCGUUGUUUAUAUGUUUUGAGGUUUUUUCAUUGGCUAGUGUAGGUCGGCUCCCAUAGAUCAAGGGCUUACCAAUUAUUGAUUGACCAAACUUUCAUGAUUCUUCUGUGAUGAUCAUAAUAAAUUGACCAAUUAAUUGAAAAAAAAGAGUGAAUAGAUAUCAAACUACUUCAAAUGGCUUGUCUUACAAACAAAUGCCAUUUUUCAUUACUUGAGAGAGUGAUAAGCAGUGGUUAUUUUGUGUAUGAAUUUUGUUCGUGCUUCUAUAUAUAACGAAGACUUUCAAUACUUGUGUUGAGGAUCAUUACUGCUUCAAAAAUAAAGUUAUCCUUUUUUAAAGUUCAAGUUGCCUAAUGAUUCGCUUUGUGUGGCAGAUGACAAAGCAUGCUUGGUGUAGCUUGUUCAGUACUGAUAGUAACCUUGUGACAAAAUCUUUAGGCUCUCUUGUUAAAUACUAAACUUAUGACACGUUCCUUAGGCUUGACCUAGUUUCAGAUUGUCUAUUGCAUCUCAACAUGUCUAAAAUGUAUCUAAUGACCAGUGAUGUCAAUGAUAUGUAAACUAUAAAAUGUUUGUCUGUUAUUUUCUAGCACGAUAAGAUUUUCACAAUUUUCUUUUUCUAAAUGUUUAAAAGCACUUUUGAUGCUAUCAAGCUUUAUUGGCUUUUUUCAUUAGCAAACUCUAAUAAAUUUUCAUGCCAAAAUUUCUCUCUCUCUCUCUCUCUCUCUCUCUCUCUCUCACACACACACACACACACACACACACACACACACACACACACACACACAGAUACUCCUGCCGUGAAGGGGAGGCUUUAGUGCUCAUCUUUGAAUGUAGAAAAGGGACUAAUUUUCUAUUUUUAAUAUUGUUGGGAAUGUUUUGUAUGUUAGACUUGUAUCAAAACCAUCAAUCAACAUGCUUUGUAACUAGCCAUUGGUCGAUGUCAUGUGAAUAUCCUAUGACAAUUUUUUAUACAAAAAAUUGUGUGCCGAGUGUCACGAAUGACCUGGUAUGAAUAUUUUUCUUUAACAUGUUCUGUAAAAGAUUGAAUUUUCUCAUUUGUUGGAUAAAAGCAAAGAUUGGCUGCUAAUCAUUCUAGUCUUCUAAUGUUGAUUUUCUUGUAUGUAGUGUAGUGCUUUAUCAAAAGGCUGGGGCUAGAUCUAUUCCUAGUCCACCCCUCCGUACACCUUGGAUUAAUCAAGCAACACAUCUUUCCUUGGGCAAACUUCACUUUAUCCUCCCUGUGGUUUGGGCUAUGUACUGUUUCCCCCUAACAUUUGGAAAUGACGACAUAACUACCUUGUCGUUUGUAGAUUGAAUUGCACCAUUAGGCCAGUUAACGAUUUAUUGAAAAAUACUAAAAUAUCUCUAUAUUUUCGUCAUUUGUUUGGAAGGCAAAGUGCACUUUAACCCCCUAUGCUCUAUUUCAUAUGCAGUUUACUCCCUUAACAUUUGAAAAUGACCACAUAACCCCCUUGUGGUUUAUGGACUGAAGUGCACCAUUAGGCCCGUUGAUGAUUUAAUGAAAAAGACUAAAAUACUCCUAUAUUUUCGUCAUUUGUUUAGAAGCCAAAGUGUACUUUAACCCCUAUGCUUUGUUCUAUGUGUGAUUUAUGCCCUUGAAAUUUGAAAAUGAACAUAUAAUCCCUUUAUGUCUGCCAAGUUGGAUGGAAUGUUUAACAGUACACUUUAGUUCACAAACCACGUGUGGGUUAUGUAAUUAUUUCCAAAUGUUGGGGGGUAAACUGCACAUGGCCCAAACCACGGGGUAAAGUGAAGUUUUCCCUUUCCUUUAUAUUGCUCUCUACAUGCUACACCUGCAUGUUUUUAAACACAAGUUCUUAAGAAUUGUGCUUGCAACAAUGAAACAAACAAUGCCUAAAAGAGUUUCAGCUAUGAGAAUAUUUAUGCCAAAAGCAGCACAGUCAGAGAUUUUAGAGAAUUUGCUUCCUUAUUAUGGUUUAUAUUUGGAUGGAUUUAAUGUACAAUAUGUGAUGUCAUUUUGCCAAUAUACUGUUUGUGGUUGUUAACAAGGACUAAGAAAACCUUAAACAUGGGUUUUCUUGCAUGCAAUUUGAUAUGCAUUGUUGAAAAUUCAAUGUGGAUAUUACUGUCUCGUAUUCUUGUGCUUGGUUAUGAGUUUGGAAAUAUUGUUGAGUAAAAUUUUACAGCAUGAAAAAGAAAAUCCAUACUUCGUUGAUGACAUCAAAUUCACUGUUGAUAUAUCCAUAUUCACUUUAAUAAUUUGAGCUGCAAUUUUAUUUUAUUUUUUAUUUUUUGUUGACAUCAACAUUUGAAACCAUGUAUGAGAAAAUCUAACCAACUUAUUGCAUGUGCAGUAGCCAUUUAUCUACUUUUCUGGUGGCCAUCAUGGCAUUACCUAAUACUUGGAAUUUCUAUAAUUGCAAAUUUUUGUUAAUCUUUUAGCUUUCAAGAAGAGCAAUAUCUUUUUUUAUUUGAACUUGACAUAUUACAUGUUGUAAUGUUUUAGGCCCUCAUAAAAUUCAAGGAAUUGGUGCUGGUUUCAUCCCUGGGGUAAUGGAUGUCGCUUUAGUUGAUGAAGUUGUUCAAAUAUCAAGUGAGGAAGCUAUUGAAACUGCCUAGCUUCUUGCAUUGAAGGAAGGUUUGCU
Molecule: non-coding RNA, 2823 nt
Organism: Camellia sinensis
Lineage: Eukaryota; Viridiplantae; Streptophyta; Magnoliopsida; Ericales; Theaceae
Source: RefSeq, a predicted model, not a curated record